RNAcentral lists this ribosomal RNA (490 nucleotides) under uncultured bacterium. Its description in RNAcentral is "partial 16S ribosomal RNA". It matches the Rfam family "Bacterial small subunit ribosomal RNA", at positions 30 to 507 of the family's 1533-position model. The record is from RNAcentral.
AUUGAACGCUGGCGGCAGGCCUAACACAUGCAAGUCGAAUGAUAACAGCAAACAGCUUGCUGUUUCGCUGACGAGUGGCGGGGAGGUUGGUAAUUUCUGGGAAACUACCUGAUGGAGGGGGUUCACUACUGGAAUCGGUCGCUCAGACCGCAUAACGUCGCCCGUCAAAACAGCGGGCCCUUCGUGCCUCUUGCCAUCAGAUAUGCCCACAUGGGAGUGGCUAGUAGGAGGGGUAACGACUCACCUAGGCGCCGCUCGCUAGCUGGUCUGAGAGGAUGACCAGGCAGACUGGAACUGAGACACGGUCCAGACACCGACGAGGGGCAGCAGUGGGGAAUAUUGCACAAUGGGCGAAAGCCGGAUGCAGCCAUGCCGCGGGGAGGAAGAAGGACUUCGGGUUGGAAAGUACUUUCAGCGGGGGGGAAGGAAGUAAAUUUAACACCUGUGCACAUUGACGUUACCCGCAGAAGAAGCCCCGGCUAACUCCGUG